GAGUUUGAUCAUGGCUCAGGACGAACGCUGGCGGCGUGCUUAACACAUGCAAGUCGAACGAUGAAGCCCUUCGGGGUGGAUUAGUGGCGAACGGGUGAGUAACACGUGGGCAAUCUGCCCUUCACUCUGGGACAAGCCCUGGAAACGGGGUCUAAUACCGGAUAACACUCGCCGAGGCAUCUCGGUGGGUUGAAAGCUCCGGCGGUGAAGGAUGAGCCCGCGGCCUAUCAGCUUGUUGGUGAGGUAGAAGCUCACCAAGGCGACGACGGGUAGCCGGCCUGAGAGGGCGACCGGCCACACUGGGACUGAGACACGGCCCAGACUCCUACGGGAGGCAGCAGUGGGGAAUAUUGCACAAUGGGCGAAAGCCUGAUGCAGCGACGCCGCGUGAGGGAUGACGGCCUUCGGGUUGUAAACCUCUUUCAGCAG
This 429-nucleotide ribosomal RNA is filed under the name Streptomyces phaeochromogenes. Its description in RNAcentral is "bacterial SSU rRNA". It matches the Rfam family "Bacterial small subunit ribosomal RNA", at positions 9 to 442 of the family's 1533-position model. The record is from RNAcentral. Lineage: Bacteria; Bacillati; Actinomycetota; Actinomycetes; Kitasatosporales; Streptomycetaceae.